Molecule: non-coding RNA, 615 nt
Organism: Sesamum indicum (sesame)
Lineage: Eukaryota; Viridiplantae; Streptophyta; Magnoliopsida; Lamiales; Pedaliaceae
Source: RefSeq, a predicted model, not a curated record
GGAAUAUUUUUAAAUUUUAUAUCCAAAAAAAAGGAAAAAAAAAUUACACACACUGGUAGUUAGGUUUGACUCUCGUCCUUAACCAUGGUGGCUUUCUUACUUACUAUACAAGCUGACAGAGAGCACGGUUUUGAGAAAACGACGACGCCGUUCCUUCGGAACUAACUCUUCUCCGCCGCCGUAUCUGCCCCUGGCCAACGAAAUUAUGGGAAAGAAGAAUAAGUCUUCGAAAAGGAAAACCAGAGAGAUCGAAGCAGACGCCAAGAAGAAUUUAGCUAAUGCCAAGAACCAAUCUCAUAGAAUGCCCUCUAACUAUCCAGUUGCUUGGAGUUGCUUUGUGCAGAGACUAUUGAUGAUGGAGUGGAGGAGAGAAUACACCGCAAACACCCGUUACAUACGAGGAUGAGGAUGAAAGUGAUGAUGAGGGAUCUGAAGACUCUAUGGAAGUUGAAAAUGUUGAAGAUGGCGAAGAGCCUCAAGCCUAUUGCGAUAUCAGUUAAAAUGAAGGAAAUGGUGAAAUUAGAGAUUGAAUUGAUUAUUAUACUCAGGCUACAGAAAGUGUAGAAAUUUGAGAGUAUGGAGUCUUUUUGUUUCCCUCUUUGUUAUAAUUAUCCU